This 378-nucleotide unclassified non-coding RNA is filed under the name plant metagenome. RNAcentral describes it as "partial contains 5.8S ribosomal RNA, internal transcribed spacer 2, and large subunit ribosomal RNA". The stretch from base 1 to 105 matches the Rfam family "5.8S ribosomal RNA", at positions 50 to 154 of the family's 154-position model. The record is from RNAcentral.
GAAAUGCGAUAAGUAAUGUGAAUUGCAGAAUUCAGUGAAUCAUCGAAUCUUUGAACGCACCUUGCGCUCCUUGGUAUUCCUUGGAGCAUGCCUGUUUGAGUAUCAUGAAAUCUUCAAAGUAAAUCUAUUGUUAACUCAAUUGGUUUCUACUUUGGUAUUGGAGGUCUUUGCAGCUUCACACCUGCUCCUCUUUGUUCAUUAGCUGGAUCUCAGUGUUAUGCUUGGUUCCACUCGGCGUGAUAAGUUAUCUAUCGCUGAGGACACUGUAAAAGGUGGCCAAGGUAAAUGCAGAUGAACCGCUUCUAAUAGUCCAUUGACUUGGACAAUACUUUUAUGAUCUGAUCUCAAAUCAGGUAGGACUACCCGCUGAACUUAAGC